RNAcentral lists this ribosomal RNA (253 nucleotides) under uncultured bacterium. Its description in RNAcentral is "partial 16S ribosomal RNA". It matches the Rfam family "Bacterial small subunit ribosomal RNA", at positions 524 to 776 of the family's 1533-position model. The record is from RNAcentral.
UACGUAGGGUGCGAGCGUUAAUCGGAAUUACUGGGCGUAAAGCGUGCGCAGGCGGUUCGUUAUGUCUGAUGUGAAAGCCCCGGGCUCAACCUGGGAAUGGCAUUGGAAACUGGCGAGCUUGAGUGUGGCAGAGGGGGGUGGAAUUCCGCGUGUAGCAGUGAAAUGCGUAGAGAUGCGGAGGAACACCGAUGGCGAAGGCAGCCCCCUGGGCUAACACUGACGCUCAGGCACGAAAGCGUGGGGAGCAAACGGG